This 422-nucleotide unclassified non-coding RNA is filed under the name soil metagenome. RNAcentral describes it as "partial contains 5.8S ribosomal RNA, internal transcribed spacer 2, and large subunit ribosomal RNA". The stretch from base 1 to 120 matches the Rfam family "5.8S ribosomal RNA", at positions 35 to 154 of the family's 154-position model. The record is from RNAcentral.
GAUGAAGAACGUAGCGAAAUGCGAUAAGUAAUGUGAAUUGCAGAUUUCAGUGAAUCAUCGAAUCUUUGAACGCACCUUGCGCCUUGUGGUAUUCCACAAGGCAUGCCCGUUUGAGUAUCAUUAAAUCAUCAACUCUAAAACCUUUGUGGUUUUUUUAGAGCUUGGUCUUGAGGGUUUUGCAGGCUUUUUUUUUUUCGAGUCUGCUCCCUUUAAAUGCAUUAGCGAGACUUCCCUAUGCUGAACCGUCUCUUUGACGUGAUAAUUAUCUGCGUCGAAUUUUGGUUCUCGUUGGGCUUGCUUCUAAUCGUCUGUUAAAGACAAAACGGAUUUGGGUGCAUAUAUGCGCCUUUUUCCAAAACCUUUUUUGAUCUCAAAUCGGGUAGGACUACCCGCUGAACUUAAGCAUAUCAAUAAGCGGAGGA